GAUCUAUGAUGAUACUAUCCCAAACCUGAACUUUUGUUGAAAAAAAAUAUGGACCUGGCUUCUGAGAU
Small nucleolar RNA from Cynocephalus volans (Philippine flying lemur), 68 nucleotides. RefSeq annotates it as small nucleolar RNA SNORD50. NCBI's taxonomy places the organism in Eukaryota, Metazoa, Chordata, Mammalia, Dermoptera, Cynocephalidae. The transcript has a single exon. The record is from RefSeq and is a predicted model, not a curated record.